Molecule: ribosomal RNA, 743 nt
Filed under: uncultured Glomus
Lineage: Eukaryota; Fungi; Glomeromycota; Glomeromycetes; Glomerales; Glomeraceae
Description: eukaryotic LSU rRNA
Rfam family: Eukaryotic large subunit ribosomal RNA
Source: RNAcentral
GCAUAUCAAUAAGCGGAGGAAAAGAAAAUAACAAUGAUUCCCCUAGUAACUGCGAGUGAAGAGGGAUAAGCUCAAAUUUUAAAUCUGUUAGGUUCACCUGACCGAGUUGUAAUUUGAAGAAGCGUUUUCGCGCGUUUUGAUCAGCCGAAGUCCUAUUGAAUGAGGCAUCAUGGAGGGUGAUAAUCCCGUACGGUUGAUCAAUUGCGUAUGUGAUACGUUUUCAAAGAGUCAAGUUGUUUGGGAUUGCAGCUUAAAAUGGGAGGUAAAUUUCUCCUAAGGCUAAAUAUUGGCGAGAGACCGAUAGCGAACAAGUACCGUGAGGGAAAGAUGAAAAGUAUUUUGAAAAGAAAGUCAAAUAGUACGUGAAAUUGUUGAAAGGGAAACGAUUAAAGUCAGUCAUACCGAUGGGUAAUCAGCCUUUUGGGAGCGAUUAUGUGGUACGUGGAAAGAUUUCACGGUUGCAUAUUUGUGCCUUUUGGGUGUACUUGCUCGUAUGGUAGGUUAACAUCAAUUUCGGGCAUCAUAAAAUGGCGGGAGGAAUGUAGCUUCCCCGGAAGUGUUAUAGCCUCUGGUAGAUGUGAUGACCGGGAUUGAGGAUUGCAACGAAUACCCUCAGGGCUACCUGCCUGGCCUCUGGUCGUCGCUUUGGUGCCGAAAGCGUGCUUAUGGUAUCAAAGUAGGUGGUCAAAAGGUUAGAACGGGUUAAAUUCGUUAAGGAUGUUGACGUAAUGGCUUUAAACGAC